Molecule: ribosomal RNA, 914 nt
Filed under: uncultured bacterium
Lineage: Bacteria
Description: bacterial SSU rRNA
Rfam family: Bacterial small subunit ribosomal RNA
Source: RNAcentral
AGAGUUUGAUCCUGGCUCAGAUUGAACGCUGGCGGAAUGCUUUCACAUGCAAGUCGAACGGCAGCACGGGAGCUUGCUCCUGGUGGCGAGCGGCGAACGGGUGAGUAAUGCGUCGGAACGUACCGAGUAAUGGGGGAUAACGCACCGAAAGGUGUGCUAAUACCGCAUACGCCCUGAGGGGGAAAGUGGGGGAUCGCAAGACCUCACGUUAUUCGAGCGGCCGACGUCUGAUUAGCUAGUUGGUGAGGUAAUGGCUCACCAAGGCGACGAUCAGUAGCGGGUCUGAGAGGAUGAUCCGCCACACUGGAACUGAGACACGGUCCAGACUCCUACGGGAGGCAGCAGUGGGGAAUUUUGGACAAUGGGGGCAACCCUGAUCCAGCCAUUCCGCGUGAGUGAAGAAGGCCUUCGGGUUGUAAAGCUCUUUCAGUUGGAACGAAACGGUACGCUCUAACAUAGCGUGCUAAUGACGGUACCGACAGAAGAAGCACCGGCUAACUACGUGCCAGCAGCCGCGGUAAUACGUAGGGUGCGAGCGUUAAUCGGAAUUACUGGGCGUAAAGCGUGCGCAGGCGGAUUGUUUAAGCAAGACGUGAAAUCCCCGGGCUUAACCUGGGAAUGGCGUUUUGAACUGGCAGUCUAGAGUGUGUCAGAGGGGGGUGGAAUUCCACGUGUAGCAGUUGAAAUGCGUAGAUAUGUGGAGGAACACCAAUGGCGAAGGCAGCCCCCUGGGAUAACACUGACGCUCAUGUACGAAAGCGUGGGGAGCAAACAGGAUUAGAUACCCUGGUAGUCCACGCCGUAAACGAUGUCAACUAGCCGUUGGGAGCCUUGAGCUCUUAGUGGCGCAUCUAACGCAUUAAGUUGACCGCCUGGGGAGUACGGCCGCAAGGUUAAAACUCAAAUGAAUGACG